Oxyura jamaicensis (ruddy duck) is the source of this 769-nucleotide long non-coding RNA. RefSeq lists it as uncharacterized. Lineage: Eukaryota; Metazoa; Chordata; Aves; Anseriformes; Anatidae. The transcript is spliced from 3 exons. The record is from RefSeq and is a predicted model, not a curated record.
GUCAGCAUUGCUAGCACUACCUCUCUGUGUUGUACGACCCAAGCAGGAUGCGGGCUGGGAAGGAAAAGGUCUGUAUGCAAGUCAUAUAUAAACUGCAGCUUAGGCCCAUAUGCACAGAAUUGGUCAUGUUUCUGGGCAUGCAAUAUCAUUUAUGUGUGUUUGUGCUCGCUGGAUCAGUGCUGCACCAUCACGGGUCUGUUCUCAUCAGUGCCACACAGGCAGGCUUCUGCUGGAUUUCACUGCUUCUGGCCAGAGCAAUUGACAAAGCAGCUUAUGGUCUUCCAAGAUGAAAGGCUGCUGGAAAUGUGCCACACCUGUGAUUUCCCUGCAAGCUUCUUUUCAGCCUGCUUCCUUGCCCUCCAUAUACCACUGCUGCCUCCUACAGUUGGAGAAAGACACUUUCAGGGAGUGGAGUGAUAGGACAAGGGGAAAUAGCUUCGGACUAAAAGAAGGGAGCAAACAUUUCACCCAACUCUAGCAAACAAGAGCAGCCAAGAAACAGAGCCCAGCUUUGGACAGGAUCUAUUCCAAGAAAUUACUGCUGGUUUACACAGCCCAAAGCAAGCUUGAAAGCAGGAAUCAGCUUAGUGAAACUUCCUGCACAGAAUCUCUAAAUGACCACGUGCAGCUGCUGGGGUAUAUGCUCUGUACCCCAUCCUCCUCUGCUGGGGAUGAAGCAGUAGAAAUGAACGGGAAGUGACUGGCAGAGACAUCCUUGUGUGGGUGAGAGCUAAAUCUCAGUCUAAAUAAACACUUCCCUGAAAAAAAA